CCCCUGGGUCUAAGGUAUUCCUUCCCCACCAGCCCAGGUUGUCACCCUCCUUUCUCAGCCACGUGAUGGGUAUGCCCGGUCUCUGAAGCAUCCACAUCUCCUAAUCUCCCUCAUAUCUGUCCCACACCAUGUGUCUAGUUUCAUGCUGAGGUGGCCCAGUGGUUUCUUCUUUGCAUACCUUGUGCCCUCCUAGACCAUCUCCCACCCCCAGACAGGUGCACCACUCCGGGAACAACUUAGAAGUCAUCACCUCAUACCUAUGAUCAUUGUCAUCUGUCUCCACAAUCCUCCAGACCAGCCGCCUAACUGGGUGGGAAGAGAAACUCCAGAUGAAAUGUUUAGACAGAAGAUCACUCAUGGCCAGAGAUAAGGAUCGAGCAUUGUAAAUCCACCCGCGUAAAUCCAGGAAACUUUACCUGGCAAGCAGGACUCUGGCUUCUGUUGGAGUUGAUCAGCUACCACUGCUGGUGGAGUCCCACAGGAUGACACUGAACCAGAGAGGCCAGAUGAGAGAAAACACACGUGGUGGGUCAUUCUGUCAUUGAGAACGCUCCUCUGAGCUAUGGCCCAGCAGUUUUAUAGACCUAUGCAGAAGCCUGCAGCGUUACCCCAAGGGAGGGCAUCAAAGCACAAAGUCCCAUCCCUCACCUGAACCAGCGGGCUGAUGAGAAAAUGCUUUGUGGGAGCCUCCGGCAAGAGAGCAAGGAUUCUGGGAGCUGCGGAGGGGGAUGAGAAAUGGCCUGUGACAGCUUCUCAUAAGACUGCCAUUUUCCGGGGGAAGAUCACGGGGUGUUCUGCCAGGACUCGGGUGACUGCGGUCAAGCCCUGACUACGUGACCUAUGUGAAGAAAAGCAAAGAGGCCAGGGCGCCACAUUGGGGCCGUUGGCCUACAAUUUAUACAUAACCACGCAGGCCUUGUAGCUUAGAAUCUUAAUUAGCAUUUUGUAGGAAAUGAGAGUCUAGGUGUGCAUGACUAGUGAAUGGAG
Molecule: long non-coding RNA, 987 nt
Filed under: Equus caballus (horse)
Lineage: Eukaryota; Metazoa; Chordata; Mammalia; Perissodactyla; Equidae
Description: lncRNA (ENSECAG00000050905.1)
Source: RNAcentral